UUUUUUCUCUCAAAGUUGCCGGGAUGUCACGUGCCCUACUUAUAUUAGUACACUCGUAACAACUUAAGCAUUACGAAACGUUUAUUCGAUCAAAUACACCUCACGUAACAAAUAAAGCAUACAUUUUUUUGUUGACCAAAUUCGACAGUCAUUGACCUCCAUACAAAAACUCCUUGCUUGGUGGGCGAAAUAACGGGCACGGGAAUGCUUCAUAAUUAUACGUUCGGUGAAAUCUGUCUCAUUGUUCUAUCUGUGCGUAUACCAACACAGUCUACCCUUAACUAUGUAGUACAUGAACAAAUAAGCACAAUGUUUCUAGGUAGUAAUAGCACAAACUCACGGCGCAUCAAACUCAAUAAGAGAGACCUGAUGCCACGUCCCUUAACCUCGUUAAACUCGACGCGCCCUGAGUUUGCGCUAUUAGUACAAAUAAACAACUGCUUAUUUGGAUGCAGAUAUCUACUUUACGGUGAGAACGCGAGGUAAAUUAUCGGACAAGAAAAUGCAAAUAAUCUAGUAUUUUCUGUACUUCGGUCGGCAUAAUUCUAAACUCUUAUUUUAUUUCAAUCAGUUACGGAUAUUGGUUCAUCUUGUAGACAGGGAGUGAUAUGUAUUCGCUUGGCCAACUAUCAAAGAUGUUCUACAACAUGUUCUCAUCUAUCUGUGACAGUAUCUUGUAUGCUAACGUUAGCAACCCCAGUGAACAUUGGGCCUAGAUAGCUGCUUGCCGUUAAUUAUGUGAAAGAUUUUCAAUAAUACCACAUCGUGGAAGCACAAGGAAAUACAUUUAUUUCAUGACUUAAAGGAGUCACUAAAGACCUGGACCAAAAAGGUCUAAGGCCUCACACUUUACAUGGUAAACAAACAACUAAAUAGUUACAUAACACUUAGCAUGUCUUCAGGCCUUAGAGCUUUUUUGUCCAGGCCAUGGGUGAAUUAUGCUGCCUCUGAUGUCCCUCUAGCCAUUGGCCAUGGGCAAGGCUAGUGGUAAGAGCAGCUGACUGUCUCUUUACAGCUCGCACUCUCAGGUCAGUUCCGGUACCUAUUUAGUUGGUGUUUGUUUACGCAUGUAAAGUGUAACUAUUGUUUUCUAAAUAGAUAACAUAUGCAAGUCAUGGCUGCCUCAUGUUAAUUGUAUAUUAUUGUAAUCAAAAGUCACAGCGGAGGACAUGGACCUAACCGGAACAGAUGACCAUAUUGCAGCUAAUGGCAGGGUCUGACUCUCUAUGUAGUGUUGAGAAGGGCGUCUACGACGGUGUCUUCCUGGAGAAAGACGAUGACGUCAUCCUUCGUCAAACAUGUCCAUACAAAGACCAAUCAUCUGUUCUCAGGAGAGAUUUCAGUGUGUGUAGAACAUAUUUGACCAGGUGGAGUCAGGCUUCUACUUCAUUGCCCUGGACCACUACACCAACGAGGCAGAGGACGCCAAGUUUGGACCAAUUAUGCUGAUGCCCCACCGUAAGAACCUGGAGCUCUUCACUGGUUCUGUGGGAGGUGACGUGGCCACAAAUCAGUGCCUGGGACACCUUACAGCGCUACCACUCUCUGGACAACAGCCAAAGGGUGGUCAAGACAUCUACUGCAACUUCAUCUUUAGUUUGUCAGCUCUGCUGCACCUGGGAGAUAAAGGUGUGGCACCACACUCCCAACAGUCAUGUAUGCUUAAACAUACUUCAUCGUUUGUGUGUUUCUUAAAGUGGCAAUCAGCAGUUAUAACAAUAACAAAGCGGUGUCCCCGUCUGUUUCAGUGAAAAGCUUAGGGAUGGGGCUGGAGAAAUGUAGCCACUCUCAAAUUCAUAGAGCUAUGGAUGCAAGGACUGACCAUCACGCCUUCUUCUAAAAGCCCAAUGGAGGAGACGACCCAAGGUUCCUCGCCUCAGACCUCCUCCAAUGGCUUUUGAGAAGGAUGCGUGUAGAGAGGAAGUGAGGAGUUAAGCAAAGAUGAAUUGGGACAGAGUUCAUGUCAUUGUUUUAGGUGGAAACAGAUGUUGAAUGAUACAUUUAUUCUGUUUUCACUUAUAUCUUCUACUUGUGCUCUUUCCACAGAUGGCUCUGGCUUGCUGAUAACAUCUGAUCUGACUCCUUGCAAUUUGACUCCUGUAUUACUGACUGUAUUCAAUAAAACUUCCAAUGCCAAAUUGAAA
Salmo salar (Atlantic salmon) is the source of this 2144-nucleotide non-coding RNA. Lineage: Eukaryota; Metazoa; Chordata; Actinopteri; Salmoniformes; Salmonidae. The record is from RefSeq and is a predicted model, not a curated record.